UCUCGGCUCUCGCAUCGAUGAAGAACGUAGCGAAAUGCGAUACUUGGUGUGAAUUGCAGAAUCCCGUGAACCAUCGAGUCUUUGAACGCAAGUUGCGCCCGAAGCCUUCUGGUUGAGGGCACGUCUGCCUGGGCGUCACGCAU
RNAcentral lists this ribosomal RNA (143 nucleotides) under Melampyrum roseum. Its description in RNAcentral is "5.8S ribosomal RNA". It matches the Rfam family "5.8S ribosomal RNA", at positions 19 to 154 of the family's 154-position model. Rfam says of the family: 5.8S ribosomal RNA (5.8S rRNA) is a component of the large subunit of the eukaryotic ribosome. It is transcribed by RNA polymerase I as part of the 45S precursor that also contains 18S and 28S rRNA. Functionally, it is thought that 5.8S rRNA may be involved in ribosome translocation. The record is from RNAcentral. Lineage: Eukaryota; Viridiplantae; Streptophyta; Magnoliopsida; Lamiales; Orobanchaceae.